Long non-coding RNA from Octopus sinensis (East Asian common octopus), 996 nucleotides. RefSeq lists it as uncharacterized. The transcript is spliced from 2 exons. The record is from RefSeq and is a predicted model, not a curated record. NCBI's taxonomy places the organism in Eukaryota, Metazoa, Mollusca, Cephalopoda, Octopoda, Octopodidae.
UAAAACAUUUAUUUUCUAUUUUCAGGACGUUUGCACGGGUGAAGCAGUACGACCUCUGCCCAGUGCUCCUGCUAUCGAGCCAUCAUCAUCUGUAGAGAACCCGACAUCUAGUACCCAACCAAUUGUUACAGCUCGUGGACUCUAUUCAGAAUGUUCUAUAUGUCUUGACCGAACAACUAACAUCAUUUUCCUCAACUGCGGCCAUGUUUGUUGUUGUACCGAAUGUGCCGUUGAUCUAGAGGUCUGUCCUCUCUGCCGAUCACACAUUUUACAGAAAAUCCAAGUACAGCAACAGAGCUGAUCACUGCCAAUUUUCUUGUUAAUCAUCAUCCAAAACAUUAUAUCAUAUCCAGCCCCAUUUCAGCUACUGUACAAAUAUGGCUAAAUUGGGAAUAUAACCUUUCUUGAUAUUGCACUCGCUUCUGCUUUACUGAAAAGUUAUUGCUGCUAGCCAUCUUAUAUUCUUCAUAAUCCUAGUAACUGUCAUGUUUUGACAUUUCUUCCAAAUUACUUUUGCCAUAAUUCCAUUAUAUAUAUAAAAAUAUAUUAUGUGUAUUUAUAUCUUAUUCAGUUAAUGGGAACUUUUUUUAAAAAUUAAAUUAAAUAUUAGAAUUUCAAAUACAAAAUCUGAAAAAUACUCGUUCUACCAAAAGUUUGAACCUGGCUGGAAUUUCCUUCCAUGUUUAAAUAUGACUUGGUCACAUUAUUAAACCAAUUGUUAUAAAUAGCUGCCAGAACUUGAAAUAGCUGCAGUAUGACAAUUGGAAAGAAUGCAACAUUGGUACACUGGUGUUAUUUUUUUGCAUGUGUUAUGUGCCUUUUUUCCAGCUGUUUGUUUACAUUUUUAUCCACUACAUUGUAUUUCACAUAUAUCUUCUACGAACUUGCUUUGAUAACUUUCAAAAACAACAAUAUUGAGAAAUCAAAUAAUCUGUGAUAAUUCAUUUUGAAAUACAACUUUCCAGAAAAUUUUUCUAAUAAAUGCAGCAAAUAUAU